Molecule: long non-coding RNA, 446 nt
Filed under: Rattus norvegicus (Norway rat)
Lineage: Eukaryota; Metazoa; Chordata; Mammalia; Rodentia; Muridae
Description: long non-coding RNA NONRATT020784
Source: RNAcentral
AGGUCUGUUAUAGCGAGCUGGAGGCUUUCCUAAAGGAAAGGGAGACUCAAAUUCAACAGGGACACAAAUUAAAAUUACACCAGAUCCAGAAUCUAGGACCCAAGGUGCUACGUUCUGGGUGUGAAUGGUCACUUGUGUGUGAGGCCGUAGGACGUGGGAAAGUCGAAUUCUGAUUGGACGUAAUGGGCUGGGGACUGCUAUCCAAAUGUUAUUCAGUUCCAGCCUGUCUAGCAGCAUGAGACAUCGCACCCUAACCUCCAGCCCGGCCCUCUGGGCCUCUAUUCCGUGUCCACGCUCUGAGCUGCGUCUGGACCUGGUUUUAGCUUCUGGACAGUCCUUCCGGUGUGAGGCUGCUGAGACAAGACCCCACUGAAUGCCUUUUCUCUUUCAUCUGUUCUUCCAACAACAACAUUGCUCGCAUCACUGGCAUGGUGGAACGGCUGUGC